RNAcentral lists this small nuclear RNA (24 nucleotides) under Arabidopsis thaliana (thale cress). RNAcentral's name for it is "snRNA_14677". Lineage: Eukaryota; Viridiplantae; Streptophyta; Magnoliopsida; Brassicales; Brassicaceae. The record is from RNAcentral.
ACUGGUUUGCAUGGCGAAAUUAUU